AGAGAGGAUAGGGAGAGGGGAGGAUAGGGAGAGGAGAGAAGGAGGGGAGGUGGAGAGAGGAUAGGUAGAGGAGAGCCUAUCACAAGAUGGAGUUGAAAGAGGAGACACGCUCCGUGGAAGAGAGGGAGAUGAACAUCAGGAUAGAAGUUAAUAAAUGUUAUGUUUCCUGGUCCUCUGGGCCAAUGAGAGGGCCUGGAGCAGGCACAUGACUGAUGAGGGACCAAUCAGAGACUUUCACUGUAUGCAUCAAAGUAGUGGAGUGUGACACAACACCACAUACCUUCACUGUUGCAUUCAUAUCACACACACACACAGACACACACACAGACGCCACACACACACACACACACACACGUGAAUGAAUGUCUGCUUACUGUACCAGGGGCUAUAUCAGAACAACCCUUACAGGUACAUCCUCUAAUUUUAUAUAUUACUAGCAUGAGACUGAUACGCAUAGCCCAACACCCAUCACCCUAACCUGUGAUGAAAACACAUGAGACUGAUACGCAUAGCCCAACACCCAUCACCCUAACCUGUGAUGAAAACACUUGUGGAUGGAUCUGACCUGACCUGUCUCCAGGGUCACUACAGGACCAUCCCUGUGGUUUACAUAGCCUUAAAAUCACAGCGCUAACCCCCAUCCCUCCUCAGACCAUCACAAACACAGGGAUAUGUACCUGAACUGGGAAGAAAAUGGCUGCCUAUUGGCCCUGGUUAAAAUGAUUUCACUGUAUAGUGAUAGAUGAACACACGCAGACAAUAAAAACAGGUGAGGUUUGUGAGGUGCUAGAGUUACAGAGUUAGUUAGUUGACAGGGUGUAGUACAGACUAGGGUGAGGUACUAGAGUUAGUUAGUUGACAGGGUGUAGUACAGACUAGGGUGAGGUACUAGAGUUAGUUAGUUGACAGGGUGUAGUACAGACUAGGGUGAGGUACUAGAGUUAGUUAGUUGACAGGGUGUAGUACAGACUAGGGUGAGGUACUAGAGUUAGCUAGUUGACAGGGUGUAAUACAGACUAGGGUGAGGUACUAGAGAGUUAGUUGACAGGGUGUAGUACAGACUAGGGUGAGGUACUAGAGUUAGUUAGUUGACAGGGUGUAGUGCAGACUAGGGUGAGGUACUAGAGUUAGUUAGUUGACAGGGUGUAGUACAGACUAGGGUGAGGUACUAGAGUUAGUUAGUUGACAGGGUGUAGUACAGACUAGGGUGAGGUACUAGAGUUAGUUAGUUGACAGGUGUAGUACAGACUAGGGUGAGGUACUAGAGUUAGUUAGUUGACAGGGUGUAGUACAGACUAGGGUGAGGUACUAGAGUUAGUUAGUUGACAGGGUGUAGUACAGACUAGGGUGAGGUACUAGAGUUAGUUAGUUGACAGGGUGUAGUACAGACUAGGGUGAGGUACUAGAGUUAGUUAGUUGACAGGGUGUAGUACAGACUAGGGUGAGGUACUAGGUUAGUUAGUUGACAGGGUGUAGUACAGACUAGGGUGAGGUACUAGAGUUAGUUAGUUGACAGGGUGUAGUACAGACUAGGGUGAGGUACUAGAGUUAGUUAGUUGACAGGGUGUAGUAUAGACUAGGGUGAGGUACUAGAGUUAGUUAGUUGACAGGGUGUAGUACAGACUAGGGUGAGGUACUAGAGUUAGUUAGUUGACAGGGUGUAGUACAGACUAGGGUGAGGUACUAGAGUUAGUUAGUUGACAGGGUGUAGUACAGACUAGGGUGAGGUACUAGAGUUAGUUAGUUGACAGGGUGUAGUACAGACUAGGGUGAGGUACUAGAGUUAGUUGACAGGGUGUAGUACAGACUAGGGUGAGGUACUAGAGUUAGUUAGUUGACAGGGUGUAGUACAGACUAGGGUGAGGUACUAGAGUUAGUUAGUUGACAGGGUGUAGUACAGACUAGGGUGAGGUACUAGAGUUAGUUAGUUGACAGGGUGUAAUACAGACUAGGGUGAGGUACUAGAGUUAGUUAGUUGACAGGGUGUAGUACAGACUAGGGUGAGGUACUAGAGUUAGUUAGUUGACAGGGUGUAGUACAGACUAGGGUGAGGUACUAGAGUUAGUUAGUUGACAUUGUGUAGUACAGACUAGGGUGAGGUACUAGAGUUAGUUAGUUGACAGGGUGUAGUACAGACUAGGGUGAGGUACUAGAGUUAGUUAGUUGACAGGGUGUAGUACAGACUAGGGUGAGGUACUAGAGUUAGUUAGUUGACAGGGUGUAGUACAGACUAGGGUGAGGUACUAGAGUUAGUUAGUUGACAGGGUGUAAUGCAGACUAGGGUGAGGUACUAGAGUUAGUUAGUUGACAGGGUGUAAUGCAGACUAGGGUGAGGUACUAGAGUUAGUUAGUUGACAUUGUGUAGUACAGACUAGGGUGACGUACUAGAGUUAGUUAGUUGACAGGGUGUAGUACAGACUAGGGUGACGUACUAGAGUUAGUUAGUUGACAGGGUGUAGUACAGACUAGGGUGAGGUACUAGAGUUAGUUGACAGGGUGUAGUACAGACUAGGGUGAGGUACUAGAGUUAGUUAGUUGACAGGGUGUAAUACAGACUAGGGUGAGGUACUAGAGAGUUAGUUGACAGGGUGUAGUACAGACUAGGGUGAGGUACUAGAGUUAGUUGACAGGGUGUAGUACAGACUAGGGUGAGGUACUAGGUAGUUAGUUGACAGGGUGUAAUACAGACUAGGGUGAGGUACUAGAGUUAGUUAGUUGACAGGGUGUAGUACAGACUAGGGUGAGGUACUAGAGUUAGUUAGUUGACAGUGUGUAGUACAGACUAGGGUGAGGUACUAGAGUUAGUUAGUUGACAUUGUGUAGUACAGACUAGGGUGAGGUACUAGAGUUAGUUAGUUGACAGGGUGUAGUACAGACUAGGGUGAGGUACUAGAGUUAGUUAGUUGACAGGGUGUAGUACAGACUAGGGUGAGGUACUAGAGUUAGUUAGUUGACAGGGUGUAGUACAGACUAGGGUGAGGUACUAGAGUUAGUUGACAGGGUGUAGUACAGACUUGGGUGUGGGGUGUUUUACUGUCAGAUGGCUGUGUGAACAGAACAGAGCUGUGUGGGCUUAAUGGUUACGGCAUCGGCCCUCUCCACUUCAGCCUGAGGGACUGUGUGCUCCUAUACAGUACACUAUACUCAUGACAUAACCUUUAACCUCCUCUCUAGAUUUUAUAUUUAUUCAUGUAUUUAUUUUGCCAACUUAAGUUUCUCUUUUCAACUGUUACUGCAGAUACUGUUUGCCUGUACGUCUACAUGGAAUGGAAAUAGCCAAACAUUGACUAGUUUGUUUUUUAUUGUUGUUGUUGGGGGGGGGGCAGUCAUUUAGACCUUUUUUAUAAAUCUCAUGUCCAGUCUUGUCCAAUCUUGAUGAACAAAUGUUAGAGCAUGUUAACUACCAGGUAAUGUUUAGAAGCGUCUGUCUCACCCCUAGCAUUACCACAAACACACGGGUGUUAUAAUGAUCAUGUCAUACUCGACUUCUGUCGGCUGUCAAUCAUCCUCUUACUGAGACCUGACUCUCAUGUUAGCCCCGCCCAAAAGUUCCACCAUUGCUCUCAUUGGUGGAGUUUGUUUUGCAUGGCCCCGGUGCCUUGUGUGGGUGGAGAUUUCACUUAAGGACCAAUGGAAUGGUCUAAAAUGAACAAACCCGGGUCACCGGACCAUGCAAAAUUAACUCGACCAGUCAUUGGGCGUUCUGUGAAUGUCACAAAUAUUACCUGCCUGCCAUUGGCUGGAAGAGAAAAUUGAAAGGUGGGCCAUCCAAUAAUAUCACAUAGAUGGAGAAGGGGGUGGAUGGAGUAUGCACCACGUGCCAAGUAAUGCAGUGUUCACUUUCUAGAUUUCUUGAUUUGUUCCUGUCUUUCAUUUUGUUUCUUUUUUUGUUUUGUUUUGUUUUUUUGACAAGUGAACUCUGACACUCAAACUGUUUUAAUCUUACUGUAAGUUAGAAAACCACCACAGCAGUUUGUAAAGAAAAUCCUAACACCAGAGCAUGUAUUUACAGUAUACAAUCAAACUAAGCUAGACCUUGAGUUGUGCAUUUUUAUGUAUGUACUGUCAAAUAUGAAAAGAUUAAUAUACGUAAAGUAUGUAUCAUUAAUAUUAUAAUGCUGCGAAAAUGUUGAAAAUACUUGUACAAAUAUUAGAAUUUUGUAUAUAAAAUAUUAAUGAAUAAUC
Non-coding RNA from Salmo salar (Atlantic salmon), 4185 nucleotides. Lineage: Eukaryota; Metazoa; Chordata; Actinopteri; Salmoniformes; Salmonidae. The record is from RefSeq and is a predicted model, not a curated record.